This 253-nucleotide ribosomal RNA is filed under the name uncultured bacterium. RNAcentral describes it as "partial 16S ribosomal RNA". It matches the Rfam family "Bacterial small subunit ribosomal RNA", at positions 524 to 776 of the family's 1533-position model. The record is from RNAcentral.
GACGUAGGGCGCGAGCGUUGUCCGGAUUUAUUGGGCGUAAAGGGCGCGUAGGCGGCCUGACAAGUGGAAGGUGAAAUCCCUCGGCUUAACCGAGGAACUGCCCUCCAAACUGUUUGGCUUGAGUCCGGGAGAGGUGAGUGGAAUUCCCAGUGUAGCGGUGAAAUGCGUAGAUAUUGGGAGGAACACCAGUGGCGAAGGCGGCUCACUGGACCGGAACUGACGCUGAUGCGCGAAAGCGUGGGGAGCAAACAGG